This is a non-coding RNA of Lepisosteus oculatus (spotted gar), 4268 nucleotides long. The record is from RefSeq and is a predicted model, not a curated record. NCBI's taxonomy places the organism in Eukaryota, Metazoa, Chordata, Actinopteri, Semionotiformes, Lepisosteidae.
AGUAAUGAACAAGGAAAUAAAAUGGAGGAUAAGGAAUAAGAGAACUUGUGCCCCAUGUGUACAAUUGUGUCAUUGUUACAAUGUCCAUUUAGCUGCACAUUUUGAAAAAGUAUUUGCAGAGAAAUUAAAAAAAUACUGUUUAAUUGUUUCACUCGACAUCUUGGUGAAAUGGCAUAUGGUAUUAUAAGAUUCAUGCUGAUAUGUAGAGCCAUAAAAAUCAAACUAGGCCAAUCCUAGCUUUGUGCAAAGAGGCAUUUGUAAGUGAAGUCCUGAAUGAGCGAGGAAGUGACAAUAAGUGCAGUUGAUCCAGUAACACUUGUACAAUAGGUUUUAAAAUCAGAACUAAAUAAUAGACUCCAUUUUAAAAGAUUGAAGAAGCCAAGUCCAGAAUCCAGAAGCUAAGUCCAAAGCUGUCAGUAAACCCUAUUUGUGAGGUUAUGGGUUGUUGGUUGAGUUGUAUUUUUAACAUUAAAUUUCAGUAUGUUAUUAAAGAGCUCCUUCAUGCGCCUCAGUCCAAAUUUAUACAAGUAAGAUACUAAUAUAAUGCACAUGUCAGAAUGUUGCAGUAUUCCACAACUUUUAUAGAUAAUUAAGGUGUUAAGACAAAUCACUCUCUAACAAUAUUAUAUUUAUUUGAAAUAAUAAAUUGGGCUAUUGGGAAUUUUUUGCUUAAUGGAGGUGAAUGCCUGAGUACUGUCACAAACAAGAAAUAUUAACACACAGAUGUUUCAGUAUGAACAUAUACUGCAGAAAGCAUUCAGCUCCCUCCACUUUUUCCACACUUUGUGGUGUUGUAGAUUUAUUUCAAAAUGGAUCGAAUUGAUUCUUUUUUGCCAUCAACACACAAUACCCCAUAAUGACAAAGUGAAAACACGUUUUUAGGAAUUUUUGCAAAUUUAUUAAAUAUAAAAAAAAACUGAAAUUUAUCAUUUACCUAAGUAUUCAGACCCCUUAUUCAGUACUUUGUAAGACCGCCUUUAGCAGCGAUUACAGCUUAAUGUCUGGUGCAUAGAGGUGGACUGAACAUUUACUGAACAUAUACUGAACAUUUUCAAAACAAUUAAUAAUUGACUGUUUUAAGUUGUCCUUCUUUUUAAACUGUAGUAAUACAUGUUUUGGGAACUUCAUUAUCAGAACUAUGGAUUCCCCACCUGAGGAACUUGCAGAGUGUGAGGCAUCAGCCUCCUGAUCCUUAAGCUUCUUUGCAUUGGAAAUAUGAGAUAGAGUUGAAAAACAUGCAUUGCCUUUUCUUUGCCAGUUCACAACACACUUAAUUUUGCUGAACUUUUUAACAAUUAUGUUCUUUGCUUCCCUGCCAUAGUUUACAACAUUAAAAAAAUGGUGUCUAUAUAAACAUCAAUAUAUUUUUCAUAAGUUGCGUCUUUCUGUACAGUAACAUCUUUUAGCUUGAUUUGCAAAUGUUGAUGUGUCCUUGAACAACUUUUAUAAUUGCAAAUAAAAUGUCUUCUUGAUGUGGAAGAUCUUUUCUCUAUACUUUGUCAGUUUCCCCUUUUCUCAUUCAGUUUGAUCAAAGACAGGUUAAAAACAUCUCAGGGGGAAAUUCUUGUGGAUGUAAAUUAUAAACAUGGAUAUGUGCCUUGAUAUUCAUGCCUGGGAAAAGGAUAAGUGAGAUGGCAAUAUUUAAAUGACAAAUUUGCAAUGGAAAGACUUUUGAAGGUUUGAAGCAGUUGCCUUCAUUGUUUUCAGAGGCAGUGAAGACAUCUGUGAGGCUGCAGUAUCUGGGGCUGGCACUGGAGCCCCUGAAAUCCGAGCUGCGGGACGCAGGGUCCCCGGUUCCUGGUGAAGAUCACCUCCACUGCCGGCGCUCUCAGGAAUCUCUUCUAUAAAAGUCCACUGGAGUGAGCACAGGACGCUGUAAUCCCCUCUCUCUGGGCCCCCCGACGCCAGCCAGAUUAACCCAUUAAAACAGUUAUGCUAGACCCUGUGUUUAAUGACGGCCUUCCCAGCACUGUCCUGCAGUGGGGGGGCUGUUCUUCACCAAAGCCCUUUCCAAGCAUCGAAAAUAUGUCAAGCUUCUGUGUGUGUUUGCACACUCUCUGCAGUAUCAUACUGUAAGUGGAUUGUCCGCUAACAUACACAUUACGUGUAUUUAUGUUGUACUGGUACGGAUCUAUUUAUUAACCUAUUUUGUAUUGGGUGUGCAUGUUAGUAUAGAAUUGGGACACAUUAAUAAGCCACUUUUUCAAGUGAAUUUAUUUCACAUUCCAUAGGAUGUCACCAUCUCCCUCUCUUUCAGGUGUUUAGUAAAAUAAAUGAAACAUGCUCACCAACAUGUUCUCUUCAGCAAUUGUAUCCUCUCCACAUAAUUGCAAUAUAUCUUUCAGUAUAUGCAGUAUAUAUUUAAUGACAGCUUCAACACAUUAUCUCAAAAUGAAAGGCUGUUAUAGUGAGAUACUAUGUGGGUUAGAUAAGCAGCCUGAGGGUGACUAUUUUAUACAAAUGUUUUUAACAAGGAUAUAUCUUUUAACCUUACUGAGCUUACCCUUUUCCCCAUCCAUUUUAUAUUGUAAGCUUUACUUUGUAAAAUUUACUUUGCGUGUAAACUAAUUUGAAACUUUAUACAUUACAUAUUAGAACAUGUUAUAUUUAUAUCGUGAACUACAUUUAUUUGACACAGCUAGGAUCCACAGUGUAGUUUCCCUACUUCCCGAUGAAGUACAGCAUGCUGAAAGAGCUUCAAACUGAAAUCUCGAAGGGUGGGUUGUGGCGCCAUCUGCAGACAGCUGGAGCAGUAGGGGCGAGAGGUGCUGCAGCUCGGCUCUGACCCGCCUUGCCAUGCAGCAGUCAUCGUUGCCAGCAGAGGGCAUGCUUUGUGCGUAGAGGUUUUGUUGAAAGCGCGUCUAUUGACAGGUUAUAAACAUAUUUACUGUAUGGCGUGUAAAUAAUUCACACAUUUUGCUUUCUAAAGCCGACAACAGUUUCCUUCACUUACUCCAGCAGCUUGCAAGGCUACUUACCUAAAGCAGUACCGUGACGUUUGACUCUUAAGGCGCAUCGUAACUAUGGCGAACAGGUUUAAUCUGCGAAUUGUUACUUAUUAUCGUUUUGUGUUGUCACACGUUUUAGCGGCCGCGUCGUGAAUUAAACAGUAUUGUAAAUGAUCCCUCCGCCGCAGAGCUCUCUGCGCGCCCGUGUUCCCUCAGCACGGUGCGCAGCCUGGCUGUCCUGUGUGUCGGCAUCCCGUGUGCUGCAGGAGCCGCUGGCCGUGGUGCUGAAGGCAGCGCGUCUGCUGCAUGGGGAAUGUAGGUUUUGCUAAUUUCAAACACAUUUCAAUAAUUAGGGAGGAGAUUCUUUAGGAGUAAAUGUUAAAAAUGAGGAUCUCUUUGCAUUAAAAUAUUCUGACAGUGUUAUAGCUGGGCAUGUACUAGACUCCUGAAAACUGCCGAUUUGUCAACUUCUAAACCUCUUUAAGCUUCAAGGUUUAUAGUUCUGCACUGUUAUUUUUUUUUUUUUUUUUACAAUUUAAACAUCUGCAAUUUCAAGAAAUAAACAAUAGUUUUACGUUUUAGGGUCUGCACUGGAAUGCCAGUCCAAGCUCCUAUUUUAGAAAAAAAAUAUACCAGUAAAGCAUCAUGUGACUGAGACGCAUCCAGUCGGUUGAAGUUGGUUCUAUGGAAGUGGCACCACUUUCAGAAAGGCACAACGAAUGGGUUCUUUUUUAUAGUAGGAGCUUGAUGUAACACCAAGAUACGAUGAGGAACCACUGGUACAUUUCAAAGAAUCGACUGAUGAACAUUACUGCUGCCUCCACUUUCUUUUCAUGUAAAUCAUUAGCUAAAUUUUAGAUUAUUUCAUACUAAAAACAAGGAUAGUUUUUAGCUUUUCUGUUCUGCUUUUAAAAAAAAAGAGUCAAAAGGUUUGCACACAAGCACUGUGCUCAGAAGUGUUCCUGAAAUUUCUACCAUUUUCAAGGCUUUUUUUGAUUACCUACUGUAUUUAUUAAAACAACACCGUGUCCCCCGCAAAGUCUGUGAUGCUCUAUGUAUAGUGAACACAAAUCACAACAGAAACGUAUUGAAAUGUAAAAUUGCAUGUACUGUAAAUACCUGAGUUUUUACACAAUGCACAAAAAUGUGUUUUUUGGCAGCAAAAGACAGUACAAAAAAAGUUUUAAUAUCACAACCAGAAAUAUACCUUGUUUCAGUCUCUGUUGGUCAUUUGCAUCAUAUUUACAGACAAGAAACCAUGUACAGUUCUUAAACUUUUUUAGUGUCUUAUUUUGUGAUGUUUCAGGUCCUUUGAAAAAA